Molecule: long non-coding RNA, 370 nt
Filed under: Ananas comosus (pineapple)
Lineage: Eukaryota; Viridiplantae; Streptophyta; Magnoliopsida; Poales; Bromeliaceae
Description: long non-coding RNA (ACOM_LNC013498)
Source: RNAcentral
CCUCCCACAUGAAGACUUCAGUUUGAAACUCUAGUUUUACGAAAAUCCAUGAAAAGCUGAAAAACCACUUAGAAAAUUAUUUUUCAUAUGAAAACCUUUGUUUCGAACAUUCUACCACGAGAGGUAGAAAAUCACAUUCUGAAAGCCGUAUCAAAGUCAUAAGUGUCCAAAAAUCAUGAAUUUUUCAAAAAAAUCAUGAGUAACCAAAAACUCAUAAAUACGUCAUUCAAAAAUCCGCGAAUAAAAAUCAUUAACUGAACCACAUAAGAACAACUACUAAUAAGUAUAGAGGACAAAUUAACUAUACUAUCUCAUAUACACAAAAAGCAUCAAACUAUAAUUUAUACUGUGAAGGUUGGAAUCUCUAUCU